UUCAGUAACCCUUUUGUAAGUCGACCUAGUACAGUGACUUAGAAAGCAUUUAACCCCUAACUCGAAAGAUAAAGGAACUUAUGAGGAACAACCCUCAACAGCUGAAUUGAAAUUCCAAAUGGAAGCCAUGCAUAAAGAAUGGGAUCAAAGAUUGAGAAAGACUAUGGAGCAAAUGCAAGAACAAUUAGAAGAGAUGAGGGUGUGUCACAACCCGAAAAGUUUCUAAAAUCUUGAAUGAUUAGAAUAAAGGUUAAAGAAUAAAACCUAGAUGAGAAUUUGAGAAUUUAUUUAAAAUUUUCAAGAAAAACCUAUAUGGUUUGAUAUUCGAAUGAGAAUAGAGUUAUAUAAUGUGAAUACAUUUAUUUUGUAUAUAAUGGUGAAGUAAGAAUUAAGUUAUGUAACCUAAUAUAUAUAUUAGGUGUGGUGAUUAAAUAACCUGAGAGGUUAUAAUAUGGGAGAAUAUUAGUAUAUAAAUGUAUAUACUGACAUUAAGAGAUUUAUUUUAUAUAUCUCCAAUAAUUAAUUUUAUAACCAAGUAUAAUUUGGUUUAUGAAAUUAAAAGGGCAAGAGUAAGGAAUUUAUUUUCUAGAGUGAGAGAUGUAAACCCUAAUUUAAAGAUAAGGGUAGAAUGGAAUAAAAUUAAAAAUAAUAGACUAUAAUAAGGUUAUAGCCCAAUUAAUUUGAAUAGAGUCCAAGAGAAGUAGAUUUAAUGGACUAAUGANNNN
RNAcentral lists this long non-coding RNA (725 nucleotides) under Panax ginseng (ginseng). Its description in RNAcentral is "long non-coding RNA (PGIN_LNC008977)". The record is from RNAcentral. Lineage: Eukaryota; Viridiplantae; Streptophyta; Magnoliopsida; Apiales; Araliaceae.